This 1384-nucleotide ribosomal RNA is filed under the name Dokdonia genika. RNAcentral describes it as "bacterial SSU rRNA". It matches the Rfam family "Bacterial small subunit ribosomal RNA". Lineage: Bacteria; Pseudomonadati; Bacteroidota; Flavobacteriia; Flavobacteriales; Flavobacteriaceae. The record is from RNAcentral.
UCGAGGGGUAACAGGAGUAGCUUGCUANUUGCUGACGACCGGCGCACGGGUGCGUAACGCGUAUAGAAUCUACCUUAUACUGGGGGAUAGCCUUUGGAAACGAAGAUUAAUACCCCAUAGUAUUAUUUUUUGGCAUCAUUAAAUAAUUAAAGUUUCGGCGGUAUAAGAUGACUAUGCGUUCUAUUAGUUAGUUGGUAAGGUAACGGCUUACCAAGACUUCGAUAGAUAGGGGUCCUGAGAGGGAGAUCCCCCACACUGGUACUGAGACACGGACCAGACUCCUACGGGAGGCAGCAGUGAGGAAUAUUGGACAAUGGAGGCAACUCUGAUCCAGCCAUGCCGCGUGUAGGAAGACUGCCCUAUGGGUUGUAAACUACUUUUAUAUGGGAAGAAUAAGGUCUACGUGUAGAUCGAUGACGGUACCAUAAGAAUAAGCACCGGCUAACUCCGUGCCAGCAGCCGCGGUAAUACGGAGGGUGCAAGCGUUAUCCGGAAUCAUUGGGUUUAAAGGGUCCGUAGGCGGGCAUAUAAGUCAGUGGUGAAAGUCUGUGGCUUAACCAUAGAAUUGCCAUUGAUACUGUAUGUCUUGAAUUAUUGUGAAGUGGUUAGAAUAUGUAGUGUAGCGGUGAAAUGCUUAGAGAUUACAUAGAAUACCGAUUGCGAAGGCAGAUCACUAACAAUAUAUUGACGCUGAUGGACGAAAGCGUAGGUAGCGAACAGGAUUAGAUACCCUGGUAGUCUACGCCGUAAACGAUGGAUACUAGUUGUUUGGUUUUCGGACUGAGUGACUAAGCGAAAGUGAUAAGUAUCCCACCUGGGGAGUACGUUCGCAAGAAUGAAACUCAAAGGAAUUGACGGGGGCCCGCACNAGCGGUGGAGCAUGUGGUUUAAUUCGAUGAUACGCGAGGAACCUUACCAGGGCUUAAAUGUAGUCUGACAGCUUUAGAGAUAGAGUUUUCUUCGGACAGAUUACAAGGUGCUGCAUGGUUGUCGUCAGCUCGUGCCGUGAGGUGUCAGGUUAAGUCCUAUAACGAGCGCAACCCCUGUGGUUAGUUGCCAGCGAGUAAUGUCGGGAACUCUAGCCAGACUGCCGGUGCAAACCGUGAGGAAGGUGGGGAUGACGUCAAAUCAUCACGGCCCUUACGUCCUGGGCCACACACGUGCUACAAUGGUAGGGACAGAGAGCAGCCACUUAGCGAUAAGGAGCGAAUCUAUAAACCCUAUCUCAGUUCGGAUUGGAGUCUGCAACUCGACUCCAUGAAGCUGGAAUCGCUAGUAAUCGGAUAUCAGCCAUGAUCCGGUGAAUACGUUCCCGGGCCUUGUACACACCGCCCGUCAAGCCAUGGAAGCUGGGGGUACCUGAAGUCCGUCACCGUAAGGAGCG